GGGGAUGUUAGCACAAAUAGUUAUCAAUAAAAAUAAAAAUUAUGUUUGAUUUAAUUUGAUGAAAAUGAAAACAAUAAAUAACCUUUUUAACUAAAAACAAAAUAGUAAAUUAUUAAGUUAGAUGAUUUAAUUAUGAAUAUCAUAUUAAUAAAUAAAUUAUGCAUAUUUUUUUGAUCAUAUUAAUAAUAUAUACAUAAUUAAAAAAAAUUAUAUAUUAUUUAUUUUAUUAAAUAAUUUUUAUAUAUGUAUACAGAUAUUUUUAAUUAAUCGGUAUCUUCAGUUUAGUCGGUUUGAUCGGUUUAUAUACCGAAGCAUAUCCAUACAUUGCGGUUACUUAAAAAUAACAUCCAUUCAGUUUAUUUAGUACUACCAAAUCUAAACAAUUUUAUCUAUUUUGGUACGUUUUACCGAAUUGAACACUUAAAUUUUAAAACUGUGUAGAUAUAUUUUAAUAUUUUUAUUAUGUUAAUCAUGUCAGAUACACAAGUAGAUUAUCUAUCUGCUUAAAGAUAUGGUAACUCGGCAUGUACCUAGCUCUGGAAAGAUAAACUCUUAACUAUCUCAUCAAAGUCAACUAAGGAGACUAGAUAAAGGAGCGUGUAUAAAUGACUCUUCAAAUAUGAAACUUAUAGAAAAAGGAGUAAAUGACUUGAUAAACUAUUUUCAUCAGGUUCGAAUAGACAGUUUCUUAUGCAAGCUUUGGAGGAUAUACGGUACCACAACCACAAGUGACUUUAACUAUUAUCUCUCGUCUCUCGUAAUCUAUAGUAUGUAUUUAUUUUUAAAUAGAUGAACCUUGACCAUUUUUAAAAAAAAAUAGACGUAAUAUAAAUAUACCAUUGAUCAGCGCGAACAUUAAAUUUUAGUUUAAGGCUUGAUCCAGUUAAUUAAAUUCCUUUUCAGUUAAGAUUUACUUAGAUAGAAGAUGCUAACGGCCAAUGAGAGAGGCACUGGAGAGAUGCAAGGACCUGGGACUCAAACGGCUGCGAUGCGAAUCUGACUCUUCCCAACUGAUCAAAGCCCUCACCUCAAAGGAGAUCCCACCGGAGCUGUAUGGGAUUUUUUCGGAUGUCUGCAAUUUAUCUAUUUAUUUUGAUGAAAUUUCCUUCGUUUGGAUAUCAAGAGAAAAGAACAAUAUUGCUGAUAAGUUAGCUAAACAAUGUCUGGUUGAGGAAGAAGCCUUUAUGGCUAGCACCCUAACUCUUGCUAUGCAUUAAUAUAAGUUUGUGUUUCAAAAAAAAAAAAAAAAAAGCUAACGGCCUCUCUUCUUGGUCCACAUUACACAGACAGAUGGUCUCUUGUUCUGGACAAAUGUCACGAUAAACUUGUCUGAUUUCUUCUAAGAUAUAUAUAUAUCUAUCUAUUAUUAUAAAAUAGAGUUUAAUCUCUCCUGGUGCCUCCACAUAGGAUUCCACAUCAGAAAUUCGUGCUCUGUAGUGACGACACCUGUCCAUUCAACCGAAACACACCGUUUCAUUUAAGUAAUGAUAUAAUUGAUGUGGGCUUUAACGUGUUUUGCUUUUUCUUUUCUUAUUUUUGAUGGGUUUACUGGGCUAUUUUUGAUUAACAGAAUGUCAAGUGUCCAGCCCAAUAACAAAACAGUUCUAUUGACAAGGGCAUUAUCUAAGAUUAGGGUAUUAUCUUCUUCGUCGAUCUGUCGGCUAAACCAACAUUGGUGAUACAAACAUAUCCAGUUAGACGAAUCAUUGUGAAGAUUUUUUGUGGUGCUUCCAUAACGUCGCUUCGUCUUUAAUUCAUAUCCGCUGAAACGUUACGAGAGUCUUGAUUGAUCGUCUUUAAUAAACACCUUAACUCAAUCAACGCAAAUCAAGGGAUACUUAUCCAUGUUCUAGGCGUUGUUUAUCCACCUAUAAAAAGGUUUUUACUCCAACAGAAAAUGCUGCACGAGUAUGUCUACAAACACGAUAGCAACUGCGAUCAACAAGAGCUUUCAGAUAUUUUCAGGAGGCAGUGAAGAAAGGAGAAGCUAUGUUUGUUGGGCAAUACCUAUUCACUGGUACUGAAACAACUUCAGUUUGGCUUGAGUCAUGAUCACAGUCAUGGAGAUGGAGGAUGAAGAAAUUUCUUAGAUCACAAAUCGCCAUGCUGUACUUCUGGAGAUGGGAAAGAUCAUGAUUCGGGAGGGUGAUGAAGCUGCGGCUCAGGAGGAUGAGAGGGUUGGGAAGGAGCCUGAGGUAGAGAGGAAAAGAGAAGCAAAACCAGAGUUUGGAAAGCAGAAGGAGAAGAAGAAGGAGAAGCAUAAAGCUUUGAAGGAGAAAGAGGUGAUUAAUAGUGCUGCGUACAAGGAGAGAGAUACAGAAACAGGAAGAGUGGGAGGCUGGUGAGGCAGAGAGGAAGCGUGUAGAAGAAUAAGAAGAAGAAGCCCGAGAGAGCGCAGAGUGUCAGGCUGCAGAGAGAGAAGCGGCUCGACUGAGAAUGAGCCAAGAGGACGUGCUACACAUUCUACAAGAGCAGCAGAAGUUAUUUGAUGCUUUGUCGAUGCUAGAUGUAGUCUUUGAUAAGUUCUUUGAAUCAGCAUAAACAUAUAUGCAUUACAUUUCUAUAUAGAUGAAUUAGAAAACAUGUUUUAUUAAUGUGUCUCGAAGGUGAAAACAAAAUGAACAGGUUUUGAAACUGUUAAAUACGUACCAAAUGUUUUCACUACAAGUAGAUCGAGAAAUUCAUCCAUUUCUUUUUCUCAUCCGGCCAUGUCCAUGCAACCUGCUUCUUCUUCAUGAAACUUGAUUUACCAAGCUCUCAUUCAAGUUUUUACGUUACUAUAAUAACUUUGUUCUACCACAAAUUGCAUGCUUUGCUUUUAAAAUUUUAACUUACGAGUCUCUUCACAAAUACCUUAUUAAAUAGUACACCUAUUAUAAGGAUAUUCAAUACGGUAAAACCGAACCAAUUAAAAUGGGAUCAAACCGAAAUACAUAAAGUGGUUAUAUUUGGUAAUAUCAAAUAAAACGAAUGAAUGUUAUUUUUAAGCAACAACUGUAUAUGAAUAUGAUUUAGGAUAUAAACCGAUCAAACCGACUCUAACUGCAUAAACCAAUUUAUUAAAUAUAGUAGUAUAACAACAUGUAAAUUAUAUAAUAUAAUUAAUAAUAUUUUUUUUUGAUAUGAUCUUCAAUUCUUCAUAUUUAGAAUGUUGAUUUACGCAAUUUUAUAUUUUAUUUUAAGUUUGAAAUUUUUUUUUUCACUUUUAUCAAAUUAAGUAAAUUUUUUUUUUCUUGACAAAAAUUUGUGCUAAUAUUUAUCUAUUUAAUAAUAUUAUGAAAUUAUUAAUUUUAAUUCAUGAGCUUUAUUUUUGAUAUUAGUUUUAUAUGUUUACUAAUUAUUUUAAUAGUAGAAGAAAACAGAAAACAUGUUCUACUUAAAAGUUAGAAUAUAAGAAUAUCUUUAUGUUUUAGUAAAACUGAUAUCUAAUACAUAAAAUAUUACAAAAGAAAAUAUGCUUAUCGUUUUUCUUAUAUUAAACUGAUAGACCGAAUAUCGGCAAUAUGUAAACCUAAUCAAAACAAAGUAGAUAUGGUUUUAUUAUGGUUACUACUUUUUAUAAUCAAAAUACCUAAAACCCGAAAUCCAGAAUAAACAUCCCUACAAAUUAACCACAACUACAAACAUAUGUAAGAUUGUUAGUAAAAAUCUCACAAAUAUGGUAUCAGAAGUUAAAAACUCGAAGAUUUCUUAACUAUCAAGUAAAUACUCACACCACCCGAACCAAAACAAUUUACAGAUACAUACAACAACCUUAUUUUCCAGUACAAGAAGCCUCCAACACGAUUCACGAACCAAGUUAAUAACACCUUACAAAAAAGGUGGAACCCAACGGUUUUAACAUAUCUAGGGUAAUACAUCAAAUCACUAUAAGAACUUUACAUUCCAAUUUUCAUAAGGUCCAACCAGAUGUACUCGCUUCAAAACCCACCGAUUUUUUUUUAAAAUACAAUACACAUCUCUUGCAAAUGCAAACCCAAAAUACAAA
Brassica rapa (field mustard) is the source of this 3988-nucleotide RNA transcript. RefSeq lists it as uncharacterized. The record is from RefSeq and is a predicted model, not a curated record. NCBI's taxonomy places the organism in Eukaryota, Viridiplantae, Streptophyta, Magnoliopsida, Brassicales, Brassicaceae.